This 425-nucleotide ribosomal RNA is filed under the name uncultured Desulfovibrionaceae bacterium. RNAcentral describes it as "bacterial SSU rRNA". It matches the Rfam family "Bacterial small subunit ribosomal RNA", at positions 356 to 774 of the family's 1533-position model. Lineage: Bacteria; Pseudomonadati; Thermodesulfobacteriota; Desulfovibrionia; Desulfovibrionales; Desulfovibrionaceae. The record is from RNAcentral.
GGGGAAUAUUGCGCAAUGGGCGAAAGCCUGACGCAGCGACGCCGCGUGAGGGAUGAAGGUUUUCGGAUCGUAAACCUCUGUCAGAAGGGAAGAAACCGCACCGUGCUAAUCAGCGGUGCCUUGACGGUACCUUCAAAGGAAGCACCGGCUAACUCCGUGCCAGCAGCCGCGGUAAUACGGAGGGUGCAAGCGUUAAUCGGAAUUACUGGGCGUAAAGCGCACGUAGGCUGCUUUGUAAGUCAGGGGUGAAAUCCCACGGCUCAACCGUGGAACGGCUUUUGAUAUUGCUUGGCUGGAAUCGGGGGGAGGGGGGGGGAAUUCAAGGUGUAGGAGUGAAAUCCGUAGAAAUCUGGGGGAAAACCAGUGGGGAAGGCGGCCACCUGGACCGGUAUUGACGUGGAGGUGGGAAAGGGUGGGAGCAAACA